Molecule: ribosomal RNA, 686 nt
Filed under: Rhodospirillaceae bacterium Pbc-abPcs4a
Lineage: Bacteria; Pseudomonadati; Pseudomonadota; Alphaproteobacteria; Rhodospirillales; Rhodospirillaceae
Description: bacterial SSU rRNA
Rfam family: Bacterial small subunit ribosomal RNA
Source: RNAcentral
GGCUCAGAACGAACGCUGGCGGCAGGCCUAACACAUGCAAGUCGAACGCCCCCUUCGGGGGGAGUGGCGCACGGGUGAGUAACGCGUGGGAACCUACCCCGGGGUACGGAAUAACCGCUGGAAACGGCGGCUAAUACCGUAUACGACCGCGAGGUGAAAGAGUCAUCGCCCUGGGAUGGGCCCGCGUCCGAUUAGCUGGUUGGUGGGGUAACGGCCCACCAAGGCUGCGAUCGGUAGCUGGUCUGAGAGGAUGAUCAGCCACACUGGGACUGAGACACGGCCCAGACUCCUACGGGAGGCAGCAGUGGGGAAUCUUGGACAAUGGGCGCAAGCCUGAUCCAGCCAUGCCGCGUGGGUGAAGAAGGCCUUAGGGUUGUAAAGCCCUUUCAGUCGUGACGAUGAUGACGGUAGCGACAGAAGAAGCCCCGGCCAACUCCGUGCCAGCAGCCGCGGUAAUACGGAGGGGGCGAGCGUUGUUCGGAAUUACUGGGCGUAAAGGGCGCGUAGGCGGACGGCCAAGUCAGAGGUGAAAGGCCCGGGCUCAACCUGGGACGUGCCUUUGAAACUGGUUGUCUCGAGUGCGGGAGAGGGUGACGGAAUUCCCAGUGUAGAGGUGAAAUUCGUAGAUAUUGGGAAGAACACCGGUGGCGAAGGCUGGUAACUCUGGCCCGCUUACUGACUUCUGA